GAGGGAGAGAGAGAGAGAGAGAGAGAGAGAGAGAGAGGGAGAGAGAGAGAGAGAGGAAGAGCGAGCGAGUGUGAAUGUGCCAUCGGUGGAUGUAAUUAGUGUAGAAAUUAUACAGUGUUCCGUGAAGCAUUGAAUGUGUUGUCACGGGUUACUAUCUGAAAAGGUUGAGACUACCAUUGAAAGGAAAGUGGAAUGGCAUUACACCUGUUAUAGACGGGAAGUGUUUUUUUUUGUAGUUGACUGUAUAUAAUGUACUGGAGUGAUACUGGCUAGGGCCACACCCAAAGAAGUUGGCUUGGUGUACGGAGGUCUUGAUGUACGUAGCAGCUUGCUUCAAAGCAUUAUAGUUAACUGCUUGUACACACAUUAUAGAAGACAAGUUGAGAAAGAUGUGGCUUCUGGCUUUAUAAGUUUUGCUACAUGAGAAUUUGCAGCUUUAAGUAGAACCGAUACUUUCCAUCGAUGGCACAGGGGCUUGGGAGACAAGCUGAGAUUUCUACGACUACGAGAGUUGUUGCAAGACGGGACAUUCGGACACGUGACCGACAGAUCACCAAGAACAUGGCGUCUUCAGUAGAGAACGCAAUAUGAACAUUAUGGUGAGCGAUAAUGGUGCCGAUUAUGUUGACGAGACUAUUAUGGAACUUGAGAUAAAUAGUUCGUUGAACUUGAAAGUCACAUCUAAAAAGAUGUCAUAGGCUUAGCAGAGCCAAUUGGACUAUUUCGUGUUUGAGUGUGUAUUGUUGAUGCAUGCAUUGUAUAAAGACUAUUUUGAAAGAUGUAAUCAAGGGUGAAGUUAGCGGACAAUACAGGUCUGGAGUUAACCGUUCACGUGACGAGAAGUCAGUUGUUGAUUAUUUUGAGAAGAGAUCAUGAUAUUUGUGAAGGUAUAAUUUGUUAAAGUUGAUAACUAAAUAAACGACAAUAUACUGGUCUGUUUAUUGAUGUUAAGGUAAAAUAUCUCAAGAACGAGAUGUGUAUGAGUUAAUUGUUUAAGCUACAGAUGUGUUAUAUAUAUUUAGACAAUUCAGGUCUGUUUAUAUAUAAACAUUAUUGGUGUAGAAUUCAUGUAUUACAAAUUAUAGAAAGAUUUGAUACAUGUUACAAAGGUGUUGAUCAUAUAUUUGAUUGACAAGGUUGAUUUUAUUUUGAUGGGACCAAGUGUUUUUGGAAAGAGAUUGUAAGAGGAUAUAUAUUUCGUUCGUACCAUUCUCUUUUUGUCGGAGAAUGGUACUAUUCUUUGCUUUAUAAUAAAGCUUCAUUAUAAUUACGAGUAUCGUAAA
This is a long non-coding RNA of Strongylocentrotus purpuratus (purple sea urchin), 1283 nucleotides long. RefSeq lists it as uncharacterized. NCBI's taxonomy places the organism in Eukaryota, Metazoa, Echinodermata, Echinoidea, Camarodonta, Strongylocentrotidae. The record is from RefSeq and is a predicted model, not a curated record. The transcript has 2 exons.